AGAUGUGGGUGUUGCACAGUUACGGUGGGUGAGUGUGAGAGUUCAGGGUGGUGAUUGCUCUGACGAAGAACCUGUUCUUGAGUCUGUUUGUUCUGGCAACCGUGUAAAACAAGUGAUUGGCAACUUUAGUUAAGAUCACACGCUCAUGGGCUCCAUUUCAGAUACAGAUGUCAAUGCUGGAUUGAUUGGGGAGGCGGAUAUUGUAACAGGACUGGGCUCAGCUUCUAAGGGCAGCAAGCUAGUGGAAAGCCAAAGAUAGAAUCUCCGUGGUGCAACCUCAAUAGGAAAACAUCUCACAGUUGACAGAAGUGACAACCCUGCCCCAAAUUUUGUCACAUA
Molecule: long non-coding RNA, 339 nt
Organism: Archocentrus centrarchus (flier cichlid)
Lineage: Eukaryota; Metazoa; Chordata; Actinopteri; Cichliformes; Cichlidae
Exons: 4
Source: RefSeq, a predicted model, not a curated record